This 75-nucleotide transfer RNA is filed under the name Planctomycetales bacterium. Its description in RNAcentral is "tRNA-Met". It matches the Rfam family "tRNA". Rfam says of the family: Transfer RNA (tRNA) molecules are approximately 80 nucleotides in length. Their secondary structure includes four short double-helical elements and three loops (D, anti-codon, and T loops). The record is from RNAcentral. Lineage: Bacteria; Pseudomonadati; Planctomycetota; Planctomycetia; Planctomycetales.
UCGCGGGGUAGAGCAGUUGGUAGCUCGUGAGGCUCAUAACCUCAAGGUCACAGGUUCGAAUCCUGUCCCCGCCAA